AAUAAUAAUGAUCCUCAGAAGUUCUUUGUUCUUCUUUCAACAGCAAUCAGAACUGUUGAAUUUGAAAAUAUUUGGUACCAAGAUUGAGAGACAACAUCAGGCCACGUUUGACUUUGGUUAAGAAAUGGAGUUGAAGUAGCUGUGUCAACACAGUGUUUGAGAUUUGAGCAAAGGCAUUUGAAGUUACACUCAACAUCUGUGAAAUAUUCCUCGGAAGCUUCAGUCCCGCUGAAGGACCGGUUUCCUCAGUUCUUUGUGGUCUUUGUGCACCUUUGGGACCUACGACACUUCCUGGUCACUUCCGCAAAGACAGCGGAAAUGAAAUCACACCAAGUAAGAGUUCCUUAUUU
This 350-nucleotide long non-coding RNA is filed under the name Fukomys damarensis (Damara mole-rat). RNAcentral's name for it is "lncRNA (ENSFDAG00000022561.1)". Lineage: Eukaryota; Metazoa; Chordata; Mammalia; Rodentia; Bathyergidae. The record is from RNAcentral.